This 108-nucleotide small nuclear RNA is filed under the name Tursiops truncatus (common bottlenose dolphin). Lineage: Eukaryota; Metazoa; Chordata; Mammalia; Artiodactyla; Delphinidae. The record is from RNAcentral.
GUGCUCGUUUCGGCAGCACAUAUACUAAAACUUGGAACGGUACAGAGAAGAUUAGCAUGGCCCCUGCGCAAGGAUGACACACAAAUUUGUGAAGCGUUCCAUAUUUUU